GUGUCAGUCAAGGAGAGCUCAUUAAUAUAAGCUCCCCGACACACAGCCUGUUCAUUCAGGCUUCCUGAUUGUUAGAGAUGAGAGAAAAGGUUCCCUUGGAGAGUUCAUCAAUGAGCUUGACGCCUUGAUAAGUUCCCUUCCUGAGGAUGGCUCACCCCUCACAAUUCUGGGUGACUUUAACCUCCUUACGUCUACCUUUGACUAAUUUCUCUCUGCCUCCUUCUUUCCACUCCUCUCCUCUUUUGACCUCACCCUCUCACCGUCCCCCCCUACUCACAAGGCAGGCAAUAUGUUUGACCUCAUCUUUACUAGAUGCUGUUCUUCUACUAAUCUCACUGCAACUCCCCUCCAAGUCUCCGAUCACUACCUUGUAUCCUUUUCCCUCUCGCUCUCCUCCAACACUACUCACUCUGACCCUACUCAGAUGGUAUUGCGCCGUCGCAACCUUCGCUCUCUCUCUCAUGCUACUCUCUCCUCUUCCAUCCUAUCAUCUCUUCCCUCUGCUCAAUCCUUCUCCAACCAGUCUCCUGAUUCUGCCUCCUCAACCCUUCUCUCCUCCCUUUCUGCAUCCUUUGACUCUCUAUGUCCCCUAUCCUCCCGGCCGGCUCGGUCCUCCCCUCCUGCUCCGUAGCUUGACGACUCAUUGCGAGAUCAUAGAACAGGGCUCCAGGCAGCCGAGCGGAAAUGGAGGAAAACUAGCCUCCCUGCGGUCCUGACAUCUUUUCACUCCCUCCUCUCCACAUUUUCUUCCUCUGUUUCUGCUGCUAAAGCCACUUUCUACCACUCUAAAUUCCAAGCAUCUGCCUCUAAUCCUAGGAAUCUCUUUGCCACCUUCUCCUCCCUCCUGAAUCCUCCUCCGAUCCUCAUUUGUUAACCUCUACGUAACAGCCACUGGCAGCCUGUGGCGCGAUUUUCAAAACCUUAAAAAUCCUAUUACUUCAAUUUCUCAAACAUAUGACUAUUUUACAGCUAUUUAAAGACAAGACUCUCGUUAACCUCUUACAUCUAGACGUUCCGCUAGCGGAACACCUGCUCCAAUAUCCAAUGAUGGCCGUGGCGCGAAAUACAAACUCCUCUAAAAUACAAAAACUUCAUUUUUUCAAACAUAUGACUAUUUCACAGCAUUUUAAAGAUAAGACUCUCCUUUAUCUAACCACACUGUCCGAUUUCAAAAAGGCUUUACAACGAAAGCAAAACAUUAGAUUAUGUCAGCAGAGUACCAAGCCAGAAAUAAUCAGACACCCAUUUUUCAAGCUAGCAUAUAAUGUCACAAAAACCCAGAAGACAGCUAAAUGCAACACUAACCUUUGAUGAUGUCCAUCAGAUGACAACCCUAGGACAUUAUGUUAUACAAUACAUGCAUGUUUUGUUCAAUCAAGUUCAUAUUUAUAUCAAAAAACAGCUUUUUACAUUAGCAUGUGACGUUCAGAACCAGCAUACCCCCCGCAAACUUCCGGGGAAUUCGCUAACAUUUUACUAAAUUACUCACGAUAAACGUUCACAAAAAGCAUAACAAUUAUUUUAAGAAUUAUAGAUACAGACCUCCUCUAUGCACUCGAUAUGUCCGAUUUUAAAAUAGCUUUUUGGUGAAAGCACAUUUUGCAAUAUUCUAAGUACAUAGCCCAGACAUCACGGGCUAGCUAUUUAGACACCCGACAAGUUUAGCACUCACCAAUAUCAGCAUUACUAUUAUAAAAGUUUCAUUACCUUUUGUUGUCUUCGUCAGAAUGCACUCCCAGG
This 1740-nucleotide long non-coding RNA is filed under the name Salmo salar (Atlantic salmon). Its description in RNAcentral is "lncRNA (ENSSSAG00000111202.1)". Lineage: Eukaryota; Metazoa; Chordata; Actinopteri; Salmoniformes; Salmonidae. The record is from RNAcentral.